CUUCUAAUGGUCCAGUGGCUAAGACUCUGUGCUCCCAAUAUAGGGGGUCCAGGUUCAAUCCCUGGUUGGGGAA
This 73-nucleotide transfer RNA is filed under the name Bos taurus (domestic cattle). It matches the Rfam family "tRNA". From Rfam's summary of the family: Transfer RNA (tRNA) molecules are approximately 80 nucleotides in length. The record is from Rfam by way of RNAcentral. Lineage: Eukaryota; Metazoa; Chordata; Mammalia; Artiodactyla; Bovidae. RNAcentral also lists the same sequence under 5 other names.